AGGAUGGACAGGCUGAAAGUCGCCACGGAGAAAGACUUGCGAGAGGCUGCGGCCAUCGAGAGGCGCCGCGAGCGCGAGGAGGAGCGCAAGAAGAGGAUCUUCGAUGCCAAGGCGAGGACGAUUGGAGUGGACGUGAGUGCGUUGGAUGGACAGCUCGAGGAGAAGCGUCAACUGCAGGCGCAGCAGGACGAGACGCGGCGGAGAUUCGUGGCGGAGAGCAGCCGGUGCGCCGAGGUGGCGCAGCAGCUGGAGGAGGAGGCCAAGUGUCAGCAGAAGCAGAUCAGCGAGAGCCUCAAUGACUACAGGAGGCGCUUCCAGAGGCGCGAGGACACGCGCGAGUGGGAUCUCAACGAUCCGUGGGCGAAGCGGAAGGCGCCGCCGGCGAGAAUCAGCGACAGUGAUCCCCGAUUGAGUGUCUCCGGCGGGCAGAGGUUCCUCGGGGAGGAUUUGACGGGUGGCCAGAGGGCGAAGCUGCAGCAGCAACAGCAGCGCGAGUGGCUGCAGCACCAGAUGGCGGAGAGGAGACGUCGCGAGGAGGACCAGCGCAAGGCGGACGUGGCGCUACAGCGAGCCAUUGAGGCGAGAGAUCGUGUGGCGCUGGAUCUGGAGCGGAGCGAGCGCAGCAAUAGACGAAAGUGCCUCGAGCAGGACGCCCAGAUUAACCGGCGCUUGGCGAGGCAGCGCCAAGAGGAGGAGCUGCGGCGGCGACAGCAGGAAGUGCAGGACAACCUGGCGGAGAUGUGCAAUUUCGCCACGAGUGACAUGCUGACGGAGAAUCCGGAGGCGGCGAACAGCAGCUUCGGCCCGGGCCGGAAGAUUCCCUACAUGUACAGAGGCAUGUCGCCGGAAGAGAUCCGCCUCUGCCGCGAGAACCAGCUGCAGCAGAUUGCGGAGAAGCAGGAGCGUGAACGCGGCGAGCGGCUGUGGGAGGAUCAGUGGGACGGACUGGAGAGGAAGUUCGCCCGCAUGUCGACCAUCGACGAGCGGGCAGUGCAGAGACGCGUGCGGGCGAACAUGGCGAGCGUCCAGGGCGAGAAUCAGGGCUUGGCGAAGGAGCAGAAAACCCAAUUGGACCACCUGAAUGGCGUCGUGUAUCGGAAUUCGCCGACAAAUGAGUAUUUUGAGCAAUUCAACACAACAACGCGAUAGGAAGCCGCUCUGGAAAGGUAAUGAUUUUUCCGUAUUCAUUCACAACAAUCUCAAUGAGUGCGACGUGCAGAAUUCCCUUCAAUUUCACAUCAAUUGUUUGGCGGACAAUAAAGACUCCUGUGGCGAAGUUUCGGGGAGUUGCGGCGGGUGGAUAAACCGCAGAGUUUUGUGCCAAGAAUAUGGCGAUAGUUGAGUGGGAUUUGUUGAGUCGAGUCAUGCUUCAUCGGCGGCACCGUCGAGAGAUAUCAGCGCGCAUAUGGAAAUUGAGCGCA
Molecule: RNA transcript, 1421 nt
Organism: Phlebotomus argentipes
Lineage: Eukaryota; Metazoa; Arthropoda; Insecta; Diptera; Psychodidae
Gene name: RIB43A-like with coiled-coils protein 2
Exons: 3
Source: RefSeq, a predicted model, not a curated record